GAAAUGAAAAUAAUAUAUACAACAUAUUAUCAGCAUAAAAAUAUCAUUACCAGAAAAAGAAAAAACAAAGCCACAGAUUUGAUGGCAAUUCAAUUUCAAAACACCACAACGAAAACAUAGAACUGGAUCAGAUCUAAGAGACCACAACGAAAACAUAAAAGAACAAACUCAUAGUAAUAAUAAAAACAGGUCAAAUCUCUCUUUUAUCACAAUCCAGAUCAGAUCUAAGAGAGCUGGCCACAAUCAC
Molecule: long non-coding RNA, 247 nt
Filed under: Panax ginseng (ginseng)
Lineage: Eukaryota; Viridiplantae; Streptophyta; Magnoliopsida; Apiales; Araliaceae
Description: long non-coding RNA (PGIN_LNC013497)
Source: RNAcentral